RNAcentral lists this ribosomal RNA (456 nucleotides) under uncultured bacterium. RNAcentral's name for it is "bacterial SSU rRNA". It matches the Rfam family "Bacterial small subunit ribosomal RNA", at positions 340 to 786 of the family's 1533-position model. The record is from RNAcentral.
UACGGAAGGCAGCAGUGGGGAAUAUUGCACAAUGGGCGAAAGCCUGAUGCAGCUAUGCCGCGUGUAUGAAGAAGGCCUUAGGGUUGUAAAGUACUUUCAUCGGGGAGGAAAAAACAAAACUAAUAAUUUUAUUUCUUGACGUUACCCGAAAAAGAAGCACCGGCUAACUCCGUGCCAGCAGCCGCGGUAAUACGGAGGGUGCUAGCGUUAAUCAGAAUUACUGGGCGUAAAGAGCACGUAGGUGGUUUUUUUAAGUCAGAUGUGAAUCCCUGGGCUUAACCUAGGAACUGCAUUUUGAAACUGAAAUACUAGAGUAUCGUAGAGGGAGGUAGAAUUCUAGGUGUAGCGGUGAAAUGCGUAGAUAUCUGGAGGAAUACCUGUGGCGAAAGCGGCCUCCUAAACGAAUACUGACACUGAGGUGCGAAAGCGUGGGGAGCAAACGAGGGAUUAGAUACC